Molecule: transfer RNA, 86 nt
Filed under: Vibrio metoecus
Lineage: Bacteria; Pseudomonadati; Pseudomonadota; Gammaproteobacteria; Vibrionales; Vibrionaceae
Description: tRNA-Gln
Rfam family: tRNA
About the family: Transfer RNA (tRNA) molecules are approximately 80 nucleotides in length. Their secondary structure includes four short double-helical elements and three loops (D, anti-codon, and T loops).
Source: RNAcentral
AGGUCUAUCGCCAAGCGGUAAGGCAACGGGUUUUGAUCCCNNUUUGAUCCCGUCAUCCCAUGGUUCGAAUCCAUGUAGACCUGCCA